UACGUAGGGGGCAAGCGUUGUCCGGAUUUAUUGGGCGUAAAGAGCGUGUAGGCGGCCGUACAGGUCAGCUGUGAAAACUCGAGGCUCAACCUCGAGACGUCGGUUGAAACCGUACGGCUAGAGUCCGGAAGAGGAGAGUGGAAUUCCCGGUGUAGCGGCGGAAUGCGCAGAUAUCAGGAGGAACACCAAUAGCGAAGGCAGCUCGCUGGGACGGUAUUGACGCUAAGGCGCGAAAGCGUGGGGAGCAAACAGG
RNAcentral lists this ribosomal RNA (253 nucleotides) under uncultured bacterium. RNAcentral describes it as "partial 16S ribosomal RNA". It matches the Rfam family "Bacterial small subunit ribosomal RNA", at positions 524 to 776 of the family's 1533-position model. The record is from RNAcentral.